AUUGAACGCUGGCGGCAGGCCUAACACAUGCAAGUCGAGCGGAUGAAGGGAGCUUGCUCCUGGAUUCAGCGGCGGACGGGUGAGUAAUGCCUGGGAAUCUGCCUGGUAGUGGGGGAUAACGUCCGGAAACGGGCGCUAAUACCGCAUACGUCCUGAGGGAGAAAGUGGGGGAUCUUCGGACCUCACGCUAUCAGAUGAGCCUAGGUCGGAUUAGCUAGUUGGUGGGGUAAAGGCCUACCAAGGCGACGAUCCGUAACUGGUCUGAGAGGAUGAUCAGUCACACUGGAACUGAGACACGGUCCAGACUCCUACGGGAGGCAGCAGUGGGGAAUAUUGGACAAUGGGCGAAAGCCUGAUCCAGCCAUGCCGCGUGUGUGAAGAAGGUCUUCGGAUUGUAAAGCACUUUAAGUUGGGAGGAAGGGCAGUAAGUUAAUACCUUGCUGUUUUGACGUUACCAACAGAAUAAGCACCGGCUAACUUCGU
Molecule: ribosomal RNA, 483 nt
Filed under: uncultured bacterium
Lineage: Bacteria
Description: partial 16S ribosomal RNA
Rfam family: Bacterial small subunit ribosomal RNA
Source: RNAcentral